GAUGAACGCUGGCGGCGUGCCUAAUACAUGCAAGUCGAGCGAACAGAUGAUGAGCUUGCUCCUCGGACGUUAGCGGCGGACGUGUGAGUAACACGUGGAUAACCUACCUAUAUGACUGGUAUAACUUCGGGAAACCGGCGCUAAUACCGUAUAAUAUAUUGAACCGCAUGGUUCAAUGGUGAAAGACGGUUGUGCUGUCACUUCUAGCUGGAUCCGCGCCGCAUUAGCUAGUUGGUAAGGUAACGGCUUACCAAGGCAACGAUGCGUAGCCGACCUGAGAGAGUGAUCGCCCACAUGAGAACGGGGACACGGUCCAGACUCCUGCGGGAGGCAGCAGUAGGGAAUGUGCCGCAAUGGGCGGAAGCCUGACGCAGCAACGCCGCGCGAGUGAUGAAGGUCCUCGGAUCGUAAAACCCUGUUACGAGGGAAGAACAACUGUGGAAGUAACUAUGCACGGCUUGACGGUAACUGAUCAGAAAGCCCCGGCUAACUACGUG
RNAcentral lists this ribosomal RNA (497 nucleotides) under uncultured bacterium. Its description in RNAcentral is "partial 16S ribosomal RNA". It matches the Rfam family "Bacterial small subunit ribosomal RNA", at positions 28 to 507 of the family's 1533-position model. The record is from RNAcentral.